This 75-nucleotide transfer RNA is filed under the name Candidatus Woesearchaeota archaeon. Its description in RNAcentral is "tRNA-Pro". It matches the Rfam family "tRNA". From Rfam's summary of the family: Transfer RNA (tRNA) molecules are approximately 80 nucleotides in length. Lineage: Archaea; Nanobdellati; Candidatus Woesearchaeota. The record is from RNAcentral.
GGGGCUGUGGGGUAGCUUGGUCUAUCCUUCGAGGUUUGGGACCUUGGGACCCCGGUUCGAAUCCGGGCAGCCCCA